RNAcentral lists this ribosomal RNA (253 nucleotides) under uncultured bacterium. RNAcentral describes it as "partial 16S ribosomal RNA". It matches the Rfam family "Bacterial small subunit ribosomal RNA", at positions 524 to 776 of the family's 1533-position model. The record is from RNAcentral.
UACGGGGGGGGCAAGCGUUGUUCGGAAUUACUGGGCGUAAAGGGCGCGUAGGCGGCCUGUUAAGUCGAACGUGAAAUCCCCGGGCUCAACCCGGGAACUGCGUCCGAAACUGGCAGGCUUGAAUCCGGGAGAGGGAUGCGGAAUUCCAGGUGUAGCGGUGAAAUGCGUAGAUAUCUGGAGGAACAUCGGUGGCGAAGGCGGCAUCCUGGACCGGUAUUGACGCUGAGGCGCGAAAGCCAGGGGAGCAAACGGG